AAUCCGUGUUGCGGACAAUGUCUCAGGAGUUCCUUGAACCUUUCCCAUAUCUCAAAUAGAGACUUCAAUUCCAACUGAAUAAAGGACGAGGUCUUAUUCUUAAGCUU
Small nucleolar RNA from Dioscorea cayenensis subsp. rotundata (Guinea yam), 107 nucleotides. Lineage: Eukaryota; Viridiplantae; Streptophyta; Magnoliopsida; Dioscoreales; Dioscoreaceae. The record is from RefSeq and is a predicted model, not a curated record.